GUGUUUCUGAAACAUGCCUGAGAUUGUGCCAGGGCUCUCUUUGGGAUGAUUGGUCCACAGUGUGAUUACAGUAAAGGUGAUGCAGAUGAUGUUAGAAGUAGCUGUACAGCCAUUGAUUUGAAGCAGUUGAGGAAGGUGGAUGUAAAAGUAGUUUCGAAGAGUUAGCUGUACUUUAUCUUCAAAAGCUACACACGUAACUGAAGUUGUCUGCUAGAUUACCUUUCUUACCACAUCCAUCAAAUUGUAAGAAUAAAGAUUGUUUCAUAACAUCUUUGUCAUAAUAAGAUUUUAAACACUAUUAGAGAAUUUGAAAUAACUGGAAACUCAAUUUGUACUUCUAAAGAUAAAUGGAAACAUGAACAUGAAUGGGAAGUUACCUUAAAAUCUGCACAGUAGAAUGUUUUAUGCACAUUUACUACAAACAGCAUUCUUUAAAGAGUUCCAGAGGUUAUAGUGAAUAUAAAAAUUCACAUUCUUUGCUACUUCAGUACUAAAUUAAUAAAUAUGGUUUUAAUAACAACUUUAUAUUUUUACAUUAGUAAUAACUUUAAGUCUUUUAUGUAGGCUAAGUUUAUAGUCUUUGGUUGUAUAGACCUGGCUAAGCACACAGGAUGCUAAUUUGAGUUACUCUGCAGUUGCUUAUUUAAAAACAUUUUAUUAAAAAUAGUGUUUAGCUGUCUACCAUUGAUUUCAAAAAUCUGGUAAGGGUGAUACUGAAGGCUUGGGAAAAAAAUAGUGGCUUAAAAUUAGUUCUUAACAGAGAUGGUGAAUUAUAGGUUUGCUUAAUGCAGUUGCUCUAGAAAUAAACCAGCAUGUGGCUGCUGUAACUUUGAGAAUUAUCUCAGUUCUUUCAUCUGAGUCAGUGUCACAAUUUUAGAAUCUGUCAUUCUUGUGGUUUCAGCGAAUGAUGUAAUCUGGGAUUUAUACUCCAUUACUGCAUGUUGAAGUUACUGAAAUGUUUCCUUCCAGACAACAGUAACCGCAGCUUCUUUUUUAAGUCAUUCAGAAUUUUCUGACAAAUUCUGCGAGUUGUAGAAAUUCCAAAACUAAUAUCACUAAAUGUAUAAUGAGUAUUCUUGUAGGAGAAAACUUCUGCUGGACUAUAUGAAAACAUUUGGGAUGGGGGAGAAAGGAACAUAAAAAGUCAGCAGUAGUAGCUGCCAUAGAAUUAAGAGGAAAGCAAGAUGGUAGUAGAUAGGAAGUAUAACUGCCAUGAGGCUGGUGCUGAAGAAUAUUCCAUUUGGUGGUCAUCCUGGGUGGGUGGCAAAAGGUUUUCACUGUGGAUUUUUUGUACUACUGUGGAUGUGUUUGUGAGUAUGGUAACAAUGAUUAAUAACUUGAAUAAUAGCUAAAAUAAGUCUCAUUUCUGGUAAUGUGUCAUGAGGUAAUAAAUGUAAGGAGGUUAUAUUUGCAAGCUGUUUUAUGAGCCCUGCUGCAUUUGUAAGAGUUGACUGGCCCCAUCGCAGAGACAGCACUUUGCUUGUGCUGUCUGUCCUCAGUGAUAGCUGACGGCCAGGCACCAUUCGUCUGGUCCUCCAACCAGAAAAUGCCAACAUCUGACAGGAGACUGAGUUGGAGAGUUGUGGGGAGAGGGUUUUCAAGAGAUGAAUCCAGCAAUUUAUUAUUAAAAUGUAAAUGUUGCCUGCUUCAUCUAUCUAUCUAUCUAUCUAUCUAUCUGUCUAUCUAUCUAUCUAUCUAUCUGUCUAUCAAGUUGAUCUGGUACAAAUCUGCUUUGCAGUCUGAAAAGCAGCCAGUUUUGUAUUAAUUACUCUUGUCUAUAUUUGUUUGACCUCUUCUCUGGCACCAUACAAGACUAUUUCAUUUGUCUGUAGGUUCUGUUCCUUUUGACAAUGAUCUGAUGGUUCAAAGCCAUUCCUGUUCUACUCUUCAGCUUUUAUGUAACUCUUCAACUAGUUCUUUGCCCCAGAUUUAGACUACAAUUAUUUCUGUGAUAGUAUUGCCAGAAAUGUCUUUGCACAAUUAGAAAUUGUUGUACAUAACAGUUGGUUUCCUCCAAAGAGGGAUGCUAUGUAUGUGAAAUUGCGAAGUUGUUUGGACUGCUUCUUAUUUGAUGUGUGAGUAGUUUAUUCAGUAAGCAAUUAUUGAGUCUUUCACAAAUUAGAAAUGUUAUACCUAUUAAGGUAUAAGAAUGUACAAGCAGCAGUUUUUGUGCUUGGUUUCAUAGAACACUUGCUGGUGAAAUCUGUUGUUCUGGAGUGCUUGCUAUGUAGGCAGCAUGUGGGAUAGUAAAUUGUGAGACUAAUUUAAAGUAAGAUUUUUGAUGGCAUUUUUUCAAAUUAUGGAAAAUCUUAUUUUAAUUGGUUUUGGACGUGGACCUGCUUCAUUUGAAAAGUAAAUGAAAGCAGCUUGCAGAACCAAACAUUGUUUUAGCUCUUGCUUGUAUGUAUUUGAACUUUGAUACCCCUACUCAGUUUCUUCGAAGUACCAUACAUGCAAUUGAUCUGUUAAGUACUUGGAGUUUUUUGAAGACAUUUGGACAUGAAGAAGCAACAAGUUGUCUCUCUGUUUCCAAAUUUGAAAGUUGUCUUCAAAGAAAAACAUCAGUAUAGUUCAGUGUUUCUUACUAAGUUACAGUUUGUGCCAUGAAGGAUGUAACAGGGUUAGUUUUGUGCCUGAACUGAGUUAACUGAAUUCCCGGAGUGCUGUCAUACAUAACUCAUGCUGGAUUAAACUAAGUAACUUCUUUGGAUUCCACUAAUAGCUGUCAAAGUGUUGAGAUGUGAAGAUAAAGCCUAAUUACUGUGAGAGAGAGGACUUGUCACAUUUUUGUACAGUCAGUAGGGGAAACCUAGUUCUUCUGUCUCCUUGUUAAGUUGUGCUGAAUAAAUUGGACAUCUUUUGUUUUCAAACUUUGUUGGUUUGCAGAAUGAAGCAUAAGGAUCUACCUUUCUGGCAAGCAGGUAUAAUAAGAGUAUUAGACUUAGGUGAUGUUACACUGAAUUAUAUCAAUGAAAGUUUUUAAGAAGAUGCAGUGCUUUAAAUGAUAUUUUCAUCAGAUAUGUUGUCCUCUGAUUUUUCUCAAUAGGGAGCUUCUGUGGUAUCACAGAGGGCACCAAGUGCCAAGAGAGAUGAAAAUACUCAUAAGUUAUUCAAGCCUUAUUCUACUGAAGUGCAGAUGACUUAAUAGUUAACUAAGUUUCAUUUAAAACUAAGCAGUCAAAAAAUCUCUACCAUUCUUUCAAAUCUGGAACUGGUACUCUGCUACUUUUCUGGUUAGAGCAACUCUGCCAUCUCUUUUUUUAUUGUCAUUAUUCCAUUUUUUAAUUGCUCAUAUUUAUUUUUAUAUUACUGUCUGAGACAGUAAGGCUCUCAGCAUUUAUUGGCAGUAGUGAAAUUGCAAUCAAAUAUCACACUGAUGUAGUACCAGAAAUAAUAAUUAGUAUUCUUUACUAAAUGAUAGAGGAAUAUACAUAUAAGACUGUCUAAAUUUGGACAGUAUUUGGUUGUGGCAGUAUGGCUAUCUUUGACAUGUUUUAUGUAUCUCCCACAUGAAAUAUUUAAUGCUGCUUGCUCCUGAGUAAUAUUUUCUAAUACAGUUCUCAUUUUGCUGUUAAAGAACUUAUUCACACUGGUGCAAAGGAAAGGACACUUUUUUUUAAUCAGUGCAGCUUUGCAUCUAUAAGAAAACCUGGCUGAGCUCUGCAUUCUGGAAUGCAAAAAUUGUCAAUUUCUGUUCAGUGUGGGACAGUGAGUAAGGUGUCAUUUUCAGACUUAUUUUGAAGUAUUAUUAUCAAGCUGCAGACAAUUUAGUAUGAAGUAAAAGCAGAUAUAAAAAAACAAACAAACAAAAAAAAACCAUCAAAA
This is a long non-coding RNA of Tympanuchus pallidicinctus (lesser prairie-chicken), 3825 nucleotides long. RefSeq lists it as uncharacterized. The transcript is spliced from 2 exons. The record is from RefSeq and is a predicted model, not a curated record. NCBI's taxonomy places the organism in Eukaryota, Metazoa, Chordata, Aves, Galliformes, Phasianidae.